CGGCUGAACAUGUAGCGGAGGAGGUCGACCACCCGGUGACUGUAGCCAUAUUCGUUGUCGUACCUGUGGAGGAGGGGUCGGGAGGUUCAAGGGGGUUCCUUCCGACCACCCCUUAGUUCCCCUCCCUCUAAGUCUCCAGCUCCUUCCCCCUUACCAUGAAAUGAGCUUCACGAAAUUGUCAUUGAGCGCAAUGCCGGCCUUAGCAUCGAAGAUGGACGAGUGGGUAUCACCGAGGAAGUCCGUAGAGACGACCUGGAAGUCAGAAUUUCAAAGAUAAGUGUGUCCGGCAGAGCAAGGACCUCCAGGAGCUGAGGCCCCGACUCUUAACUCUAUCGCCCAUCCAUGCAUUCAUCUAUAAUAUUUGAUGUAGCCCUACUGUGUCCAGUCUCUGGACUGGAGGGUAUGACCAAGUGCAGGGUAUGACCAAGGCACUGUGUCAGGGUCUGGCCAAAGGGCACAGGUCACAAACACCCUCAUGCUGUACCAGUACAUCCCUUUCCUAGGAAUAAUGCAAGCGUUUGGAAUGGGCCAGCAUGGAGGGCCUCUCUGAGGGGUGGCCAUGAGCCUGGGUCUAGAUGACUAGAAAGAUCUGACCGGCUGGGGCCCUCAGCACAGUGUCUGAGGUAGAAGGAGCUGCAGGAAGGGAGGACCUGAGGGUUUUAGCCCUAGUGUCAUGAAAGGCCACAGGAGUGUUUUCAAUCCUGAAAACGGGUGAUGCAAUGUGAUUCCAUUAAAACAAAAGAUCCCAGUGACUGUGGGAAAGUGGACCUGCAGGAGUUAAUGCAGGGAGACAGCACCAAGGUGGAUGUACAGGGGUCCACCAUGACCAUGGCAUCCACUCCUCACAGAGAAGGCAUCUGGCCAUGGCCUGGCCCUGAGCAAGUAUUGAAAAAAAUGGGAGCUGUUGUCUUUUGUUCACUAAGCAUGUAUUAGUCACCUGCUGUAUGCCAGGUUGGAGCCACAAAAGUGAAAAGGCAGCCCCUAAAUCCCUGUUUUCUUGGAGUGCACACACCACUGGGGCCAACAGUGACUAUGAAAUGAAAUUUCAGGACUAAGUUGGUGGCCUAGGUGUGGAGGCUGGUGGGGCCACCACCACAGACCACAGGAGGGGAUGUGUGCAGGCCAGGGUCCAGCCUUGCCUGAGGGUUGCACAGUGUUUUAAGUGACUUCUGCACUGGUGGGCCUCUCCUCCCGAAACCAGUCUCUCCCUCUUAACUCCAUACAGUAAGCAAGGCCCGGGAAGAAGUUGGGUUUCCCUGCCAUCCUUCCUGCCCCAGCCCCUCAUCCUCAACUCACCAUCAACCCUUCCACGAUCCCAAAUCGCUCGUGGAUGACUUUGGCGAGGGGAGCCAAACAGUUGGUGGUGCAGGACGCGUUGCUGAAACAGCCAAGGUGUGCACGGACACUGUGAGCUCUGACAACCUCGCCAUGAACCCUCCUAGACCCUCAGCUCCUGCAAUAGGAAGCUGGCUGCCAAAGGCCAGGAGGGUCCCUGAAAACAGACACUGCAUUAAAGAAAAAGCUCCUGGAGGACUCCUGAAGCCUGAGGCAGCCUUGGGGCAGCAGUGGCUCAUGGUUUACAUUGGAAAGGUUUAUCAUGAGUAACCGGGUGCUUUGCUUCUGUGAUUCUUGGCCAGUGUCGGUCUGUUUCCUUUGCCAUUGAGCCUGCUCCCCUCAAUGGGGGGUUCAAUCAAUGUUUGUGGGGUUUGUUUGUUUUGAGACAGGGUCUUCCUCUGUCGCCCAGGCUGGAGUGCAGUGGUGCAAUCAGAGCUCACUGCAGCCUUGAUCUUCCUGGCUCCGGCCAUCCUCCUGCCUUGGCCUCCCGAGUAGCUGGGACUACAGGCGCACACCACCAUGCCAAGCUAAUUUUUAAAUUUUUUUGUAGAGAUGGGGUCUCACUUUUGUUGCCCAGGGUGCUUUAGAACCCCUGGGCUCAAGUGAUCCUUGACCUCCCACAGUGCUGGGAUUACAGGUGUGAGCCACCGUGCCUGGCCUCAUGGGUUUUCUUUGUUUUGUUUUGUUUUGUUUUUGAGACAGAGUCUCACUCUGUCACUCAGGCUGGAGUGCAGUGGCACGAUUUUGGCUCACUGCAACCUCCACCUUCCGGGUUCAAGCGAUUCUCCUGCCUCCGCCUCCCGAGUAGUUGGGGUUACAGGCAUGCGCUACCACACCUGGCUAGUUUUUUAUUGUUGUUGUUUUUUGUA
Homo sapiens (human) is the source of this 2204-nucleotide long non-coding RNA. Ensembl annotates it as TMEM147 antisense RNA 1. Its record names the gene TMEM147-AS1. The record is from Ensembl. Lineage: Eukaryota; Metazoa; Chordata; Mammalia; Primates; Hominidae.